UUGGACUAAAUAUAAUUAGAC
This 21-nucleotide non-coding RNA is filed under the name Caenorhabditis elegans. Lineage: Eukaryota; Metazoa; Nematoda; Chromadorea; Rhabditida; Rhabditidae. The record is from RNAcentral.